GAUGAACGCUGGCGGCGUGCCUAAUACAUGCAAGUCGAGCGAACAGACGAGGAGCUUGCUGCUCUGACGUUAGCGGAGGACGGGUGAGAAACACGUGGAUAACCUACCUAUCAGACUGGGAACACUUCGGGAAACCGGAGCUAAUACCGGAUAAUAUAUUGAACCGCAUGGUUCAAUAGAGAAAGACGGUUUUGUUGGCGGUUAUCGAUGGUUACGCGCCUUAUUAGCUAGUUGGUAGGGUAGUGGCUUACCACGGGUACGAUGGGUAGGCGGCAUGCGAGGGUGACCGCGGACAUUGGGCCUGCGAGACGGAGCAGACUGCUACGGGAGGCAGUAGGCGGGAAUAUUGCAGAAUGGGCGGAAGCGUGAUGCAAAGGUGCUGGGAGCGGGAUGCCGGCUUUCGGGUUGUAAACAGAUGUGGACUGUGCCGAAGCGUGCGUGACGGUAAUGGGUCAAGAAGCCACGGCUAACUACGUG
RNAcentral lists this ribosomal RNA (477 nucleotides) under uncultured bacterium. RNAcentral's name for it is "partial 16S ribosomal RNA". It matches the Rfam family "Bacterial small subunit ribosomal RNA", at positions 28 to 507 of the family's 1533-position model. The record is from RNAcentral.